GGGCUCGCUUCGGCAGCACACGCACUAAAAUUGGAACGAUACAAAGAAGAUGAGCAUGGCCCCUGUGCAAGGAUAACACAAAAAUUUAUGAGGUGUUCCAUUAAAAA
Small nuclear RNA from Artibeus jamaicensis (Jamaican fruit-eating bat), 107 nucleotides. Lineage: Eukaryota; Metazoa; Chordata; Mammalia; Chiroptera; Phyllostomidae. The record is from RefSeq and is a predicted model, not a curated record.